Molecule: ribosomal RNA, 400 nt
Filed under: uncultured bacterium
Lineage: Bacteria
Description: bacterial SSU rRNA
Rfam family: Bacterial small subunit ribosomal RNA
Source: RNAcentral
UAGGGAAUAUUGGACAAUGGGCGCAAGCCUGAUCCAGCCAUGCCGCGUGCAGGAAGAAGGCGUUAUGCGUUGUAAACUGCUUUUGACAGGGAAUAAAAAACUCAUGCGUGAGUAAUUGAAUGUACCUGUAGAAUAAGCCACGGCUAACUACGUGCCAGCAGCCGCGGUAAUACGUAGGUGGCGAGCGUUAUCCGGAUUUAUUGGGUUUAAAGGGAGCGUAGGUGGUUUUGUAAGUCAGUGGUGAAAGACGGCCGCUCAACGGUCGCAUUGCCAUUGAUACUGCAAGGCUAGAGUACAGUAGAGGUAGGCGGAAUUUAUGGUGUAGCGGUGAAAUGCUUAGAUACCAUAAAGAACACCCAUUGCGAAGGCAGCUUACUGGACUGUAACUGACACUGAGGCU